This 1405-nucleotide ribosomal RNA is filed under the name Salmonella enterica subsp. enterica serovar Kentucky. RNAcentral's name for it is "bacterial LSU rRNA". It matches the Rfam family "Bacterial large subunit ribosomal RNA", at positions 1556 to 2925 of the family's 2925-position model. Lineage: Bacteria; Pseudomonadati; Pseudomonadota; Gammaproteobacteria; Enterobacterales; Enterobacteriaceae. The record is from RNAcentral.
CUGAGGCGUGAUGACGAGGCACUACGGUGCUGAAGCAACAAAUGCCCUGCUUCCAGGAAAAGCCUCUAAGCAUCAGGUAACAUCAAAUCGUACCCCAAACCGACACAGGUGGUCAGGUAGAGAAUACCAAGGCGCUUGAGAGAACUCGGGUGAAGGAACUAGGCAAAAUGGUGCCGUAACUUCGGGAGAAGGCACGCUGACACGUAGGUGAAGUGAUUUACUCACGGAGCUGAAGUCAGUCGAAGAUACCAGCUGGCUGCAACUGUUUAUUAAAAACACAGCACUGUGCAAACACGAAAGUGGACGUAUACGGUGUGACGCCUGCCCGGUGCCGGAAGGUUAAUUGAUGGGGUCAGCGCAAGCGAAGCUCCUGAUCGAAGCCCCGGUAAACGGCGGCCGUAACUAUAACGGUCCUAAGGUAGCGAAAUUCCUUGUCGGGUAAGUUCCGACCUGCACGAAUGGCGUAAUGAUGGCCAGGCUGUCUCCACCCGAGACUCAGUGAAAUUGAACUCGCUGUGAAGAUGCAGUGUACCCGCGGCAAGACGGAAAGACCCCGUGAACCUUUACUAUAGCUUGACACUGAACAUUGAGCCUUGAUGUGUAGGAUAGGUGGGAGGCUUUGAAGUGUGGACGCCAGUCUGCAUGGAGCCGACCUUGAAAUACCACCCUUUAAUGUUUGAUGUUCUAACGUGGACCCGUAAUCCGGGUUGCGGACAGUGUCUGGUGGGUAGUUUGACUGGGGCGGUCUCCUCCUAAAGAGUAACGGAGGAGCACGAAGGUUGGCUAAUCCUGGUCGGACAUCAGGAGGUUAGUGCAAUGGCAUAAGCCAGCUUGACUGCGAGCGUGACGGCGCGAGCAGGUGCGAAAGCAGGUCAUAGUGAUCCGGUGGUUCUGAAUGGAAGGGCCAUCGCUCAACGGAUAAAAGGUACUCCGGGGAUAACAGGCUGAUACCGCCCAAGAGUUCAUAUCGACGGCGGUGUUUGGCACCUCGAUGUCGGCUCAUCACAUCCUGGGGCUGAAGUAGGUCCCAAGGGUAUGGCUGUUCGCCAUUUAAAGUGGUACGCGAGCUGGGUUUAGAACGUCGUGAGACAGUUCGGUCCCUAUCUGCCGUGGGCGCUGGAGAACUGAGGGGGGCUGCUCCUAGUACGAGAGGACCGGAGUGGACGCAUCACUGGUGUUCGGGUUGUCAUGCCAAUGGCACUGCCCGGUAGCUAAAUGCGGAAGAGAUAAGUGCUGAAAGCAUCUAAGCACGAAACUUGCCCCGAGAUGAGUUCUCCCUGAGACUUUAGGUCUCCUGAAGGAACGUUGAAGACGACGACGUUGAUAGGCCGGGUGUGUAAGCGCAGCGAUGCGUUGAGCUAACCGGUACUAAUGAACCGUGAGGCUUAACCUUACAACGCCGAAG